AAGGAGUCGUCUUCGUAUGCGAGUGUUCGGGUGUCAAACCCCUACGCGUAAUGAAAGUGAACGUAGGUGAGAGCUUCGGCGCAUCACCGACCGAUCCUGAUGUUCUCGGAUGGAUUUGAGUAAGAGCAUACGGGGCCGGACCCGAAAGAAGGUGAACUAUGCCUGUAUAGGGUGAAGCCAGAGGAAACUCUGGUGGAGGCUCGCAGCGGUUCUGACGUGCAAAUCGAUCGUCAAAUAUGGGCAUGGGGGCGAAAGACUAAUCGAACCUUCUAGUAGCUGGUUUCCGC
Molecule: unclassified non-coding RNA, 287 nt
Filed under: uncultured fungus
Lineage: Eukaryota; Fungi
Description: partial contains 5.8S rRNA, ITS2 and 28S rRNA
Rfam family: Eukaryotic large subunit ribosomal RNA
Source: RNAcentral